GUUAGGUUAGAACAGGACAGGGGUGAAGGGUUAGGUUAGAACAGGACAGGGGUUAAGGGUUAGGUUAGAACAGAACUGAGGUGAAGGGUUAGAACAGGACUGGGUUGAAGGGUUAGAUUAGAACAGGACUGGGGUGCAGGGUUAGGUUAGAACAGGACUGGGGUGAAGGGUUAGGUUAGAACAGGACAGGGGAGAAGGGUUAGAACAGGACUGGGGUGAAAGGGGUUAGGUUAGAACAGGACAGGGGUGAAGGGUUAGAACAGGACUGGGGUUAAGGGUUAGGUUAGAACAGGACUGGGGUGAAGGGUUAGGUUAGAACAGGACUGGGGUGAAGGGUUAGGUUAGAACAGGACAGGGGUGAAGGGUUAGGUUAGAACAGGACUGGGGUGAAGGGUUAGGUUAGAACAGGACUGGGGUGAAGGGUUAGGUUAGAACAGGACAGGGGUGAAGGGUUAGGUUAGAACAGGACUGGGGUGAAGGGUUAGGUUAGAACAGGACUGAGUGAAGGGUUAGAUUAGAACAGGACAGGGGUGUAGGGUUAGAACAGGACUGGGGAGGGGGUUAGGUUAGAACAGGACACGGGUGAGGGGUUAGAUUAGAACAGGACAGGGUGAAGGGUUAGAACAGGACAG
RNAcentral lists this long non-coding RNA (632 nucleotides) under Salmo salar (Atlantic salmon). RNAcentral's name for it is "lncRNA (ENSSSAG00000111452.1)". Lineage: Eukaryota; Metazoa; Chordata; Actinopteri; Salmoniformes; Salmonidae. The record is from RNAcentral.